Molecule: non-coding RNA, 28 nt
Filed under: Mus musculus (house mouse)
Lineage: Eukaryota; Metazoa; Chordata; Mammalia; Rodentia; Muridae
Source: RNAcentral
UAGAUUGUUGGUAGGUUUGGGGAAGGAU